This is a long non-coding RNA of Lytechinus pictus (painted urchin), 239 nucleotides long. RefSeq lists it as uncharacterized. The record is from RefSeq and is a predicted model, not a curated record. Lineage: Eukaryota; Metazoa; Echinodermata; Echinoidea; Temnopleuroida; Toxopneustidae. The transcript is spliced from 3 exons.
UGGAGCAGAAAAUCUUGGAGGGAACAUCAAUACUAUUCUAAUGACAUUCCAUAGGAAUAAAAAUCCAAUGGGACCAAGUUCUUAGCAGUUCACACCUAGUCAGAAGUACAAAAUUGAGAACCAUGCCGAUCAGCAAGUGUUAGUUACAAUCUAAUGAGGAACAGGAUAUCUGAAUGGAAAAAUUGCAAGGUUUCCCACUUCCCAAGCUGUUCAAGUACUGGUAUCACAACAUAAGUGCC